RNAcentral lists this ribosomal RNA (756 nucleotides) under uncultured archaeon. Its description in RNAcentral is "bacterial SSU rRNA". It matches the Rfam family "Archaeal small subunit ribosomal RNA", at positions 1 to 758 of the family's 1478-position model. The record is from RNAcentral.
UUCCGGUUGAUCCUGCCGGAGGUUACUGCUAUCGGUAUUCGACUAAGCCAUGCGAGUUAAAUGUUCUUCGUGAACAUAGCGAACUGCUCAGUAACACGUGGAUAACCUGCCCUUAGGUUCGGCAUAACUCCGGGAAACUGGAGAUAAUUCCGAAUAAACCAUUCCUGCUGGAAUGCUUUUUGGUUCAAAGACUUCGGUUGCCUAAGGAUGGAUCUGCGGUCUAUCAGGUAGUAGUGGGUGUAAGGUACCUACUAGCCUACGACGGAUAUGGGUUGUGAGAGCAAGAGCCCAGAGAUGGAUUCUGAGACAUGAAUCCAGGCCCUACGGGGCGCAGCAGGCGCGAAAACUUUACAAUGCGGGAAACCGCGAUAAGGGGAUACCGAGUGCCAGCAUAUUAUGUUGGCUGUCCACAUGUGUAAACGGCAUGUGUUAGCAAGGGCCGGGCAAGACCGGUGCCAGCCGCCGCGGUAACACCGGCGGCCCGAGUGGUAAUCACUUUUAUUGGGUCUAAAGGGUCCGUAGCCGGUUUGAUCAGUUCUUCGGGAAAUCUGACAGCUCAACUGUUAGGCUUCCGGGGAAUACUGUCAGACUUGGGACCGGGAGAGGUAAGAGGUACUACAGGGGUAGGAGUGAAAUCUUGUAAUCCCUGUGGGACCACCAGUGGCGAAGGCGUCUUACCAGAACGGGUCCGACGGUGAGGGACGAAAGCUGGGGGAGCAAACCGGAUUAGAUACCCGGGUAGUCCCAGCUGUAAAC